GGCUUAAUUUGACUCAACGCGGGAAAUCUUACCGGGUCCGGACACACUGAGGAUUGACAGGUAACGUUAUACACACAUAUAUUUACUCUCGGGUAUUUAUACUGCUGUGUAUAUAUAAAAUAUGCUAGUCCUUUCAUGAUUAUGUGAUAGGUGGUGCAUGGGCGUUCUUAGUUCGUGGAGUGAUCUGUCUGCUUAAUUGCGUUUCACUAAGGAUCUAUAUUCAUAUUACGCAUAGCAUUUUGACCCCUUUAUGCUUCGGUAUAAAGCUGCGCGUCAAACCUUGCUAUCUGCGUAUAUUAGAUCCUGAAAGCAACGAACGUGACCGCAACCUCUUGUUGCCUUUAACUAGGUUUUGCUUACGUAUAGCUUCGGCUUUACGCUUUGCAUCUAAAAAGGCUGAUUUUCUAAACUAGAGGGACCGCUGUUACUUUCUUAAACCAGAGGAAGGUUGCGGCAAUAACAGGUCUGUGAUGCCC
This 476-nucleotide ribosomal RNA is filed under the name Nonionella sp. T1. Its description in RNAcentral is "SSU rRNA". It matches the Rfam family "Eukaryotic small subunit ribosomal RNA", at positions 1187 to 1472 of the family's 1831-position model. Lineage: Eukaryota; Foraminifera; Rotaliida; Nonionidae. The record is from RNAcentral.